This 1984-nucleotide ribosomal RNA is filed under the name human gut metagenome. Its description in RNAcentral is "eukaryotic LSU rRNA". It matches the Rfam family "Eukaryotic large subunit ribosomal RNA", at positions 104 to 2508 of the family's 3401-position model. The record is from RNAcentral.
AAGAUCAAUAAUCUAAACUUUAAAUUUUUAUAAUUUAAAGUCAUGUGAUUUUCUAAACUCAUUGAAAUUUUUAUAAAUUAUGAUUGAAUUCAUAACUAUAAAGAGUUAUAGUCUCGUUAUUUAAAAUUUCAAGCAUGGGAAUUAGAAUUAAAGAGUCGGGUAGCUUGAGAAUGCUGCCUUAAUAUAGGUGGUACACCCCAUCUAAAGCUAAAUAUUGUAAAGAGACCGAUAGCAUACAAGUAGUGUGAACGAAAGAUGAAAAGAACUCCUAAACGGAGAAUUAAAAGCGCCUGAACUUGUCUAGGUUUUCGCAUUUCUUUAAUGCGCCCGUCUUGAAACACGGAUUAGGGAGUUUUACUUAAAUACGAGUCUUUAACUUUUAAAGUAAUUUUUUUAAAAAAGGCGAAAAGAAAUUAACUGGUUUUUUUAACAUGGCUAUAGAGUAUUUAAGUCAAAACCCGAAUGGAGGUGAACUAUUCCUGCAAAGAUUGAAGUCAGGGGAAACUCUGAUGGAAGAUCGUUGGCGUUAUUGAUGUGCAAAUCAUUUGCUUUAUGUAGGUAUAGGUGCGAAAGACUCAUCGAACCUCCUAAUAGCUGGUUUCCUCCGAAGUUUCCCUCAGGAUAGCUGUAACAUUUUUAAAUAGUUAAGGAUAGUAGAGAAAUGGGUAGAGGUGUAGUGGAACUACGGUUCUGCAACUUAUUUCCAAACUUCGAACGUUCUUGAUAUAAAAAAUUACCUAAUAGGAAUUUUUUAUUUAAAUAUAUGUUAUAAGUGGGCUCUGACCGGUAAGCGGUCAUGGCGAAAAGGGAUGAACCUAACGUAUAAAUAAGGUGCCUAAAUUUACUAACAAUGAAACCAUUAAAAGAGUCCAUGUAUUUAGACAGCGGGUCGGUGCCCCUAAAAGCAGGUAUCCGUUAAUGAGUGUGUUAAAACUCCCCCGCCGAAUACUCUGGCCUUGAAAAUGAAUGGCGCAUAUAGUAAUACCGAUAUUAUACAUUAAAAUUAUUUAAAAAUUUUAAAAGUAGGGGGAUGUGGAUAUCUUAGAGAAUUUUUAAUUGUAAAAUUGAAUUGAAAGAUAUCUAUUACAGAUCCUAAUUGAAGUAGCGAUUAUCCAGGUUAAUCUCCUGGGGGCUGAUGAGGAGUAGGGUUUCUGGGCAACUUAAACGGACCCAGAGUUAGUCGAUCCUAAUCAAAUUAAAUUUAGAGAAAGGGAAUAUGAAUGAUAUUUCAUAACUAAAAUUAAUUUUUAAAUGGUGACAUUUUUUUAAACUUAUUUCCAUCAAUUAAAUACUGUUUAAUAGGGAUUUCUUUCCUAUAUAACUUUUUAAUUAAAACUUAAGAAACAGGUUAACUGGAGAAUAAAGUUUUAAUUUAGUAAAAUUAUAAUUUCGAUUAUAAUAACGGCUAUUUAAAUGAUCCAUGAAACAAUAAGUUUAUUUUUUCAAAAAUUAAUUUAAUCGUACCGAUAACCGCAUCAGGUCUCCAAGGUGAGUAGCUUCUGGCCAUUGAGUAAUGGUAAUUUAGGGAAUUCGGCCAAUUAGAGCUGUAACUUCGGGAUAAAGCUUGGCUCUGAUGGAAAUCAGAACCGAUAGUUACAAGGAGAGCCCAACUGUUUAAUAAAAACUUAGUGUCGCGUCAUACCUUUAUAAGUAAUAAACGUGACAUGAAUCCUGCUCAGUGCUGUGUUUGUUAAACUGGAUUAAUCCAUUUAAGCGCCGGUAAAUAGCUGGGGUAACUAUGACUCUUAUCAAAGUAGCGAAAUACCUCGUCACUUAAUUAGUGACCUGCAUGAACGGAGCUAUGAGGUUCUCACUGUCCCAAAUUAUCACUCAGCGAACCAACAGUUGUGGGAACGGGCACAAAUUAUCCAGCGGGGAAAGAAGACCCUGUAGAGCUUCACUUUGGUCUAAUCUUGUAUAGUUUCGUUAGGGGUGCAGUCUAGGUGGGAGAUUUUUAAUCAAAUAUGAGAAACCACUACCCUUU